AUGACCCUCUCAUUCACUUUCUCUCGUCUAUUUUCUGGAAACCCGAUUCUAAUUUUAAACUGCAUUUUCGGACUAUCAGGUCACGUGAGGUUAAGCUACGUCAAUAAGGAGCUUGAGACAUGGCUUUAAACGGUCGAAAAUAUGUCUGAGGAAUAAAAUCGUUUUCUUAUGUUUGCAGAUGGAAGGAGACGAAAAAAUCAUUUUGAGAAAAUACAUCUCGGAAUAUUUGCUGUUAAAAACUACCAAGGAUGAAGUCGGAUGAAAUUUGCAUGCCAAGACAACAGUUACGUGAUUAGUACAAGCCAAUGUUCAAUUUUUGCUAACAUACAGCAGUAAUGUGUGACAGACUUUCCACAGCAGUGUUAUGGAGGCAAAAUCAGAGCAAUAUGUACAUGCCAAGAUGCUAAAGUUUUACAAGCAUAUUGAAGGAGUUGUUAUUACAAGCAUACUGAAGUGAUGUGUGUUCCACAACAGUAAAUUAUCGAACGAAAAGCAGUAUUCACUUUACAAAUACAAAUAUUUAGUGCACAAGUUUGAUCUAUAAUCUCGGAGAUAUAUGAUAAGAUCAAUCAAAGAUCUUUUCCAUGUAAUAACAUGAUGCUCUUUAUACUGAGAAUUCUCCCACAUUAAAGGUCAUAAACAGUAAGACGUUAACAUGAUGCUAGAAUUUUGUCCUUACUCCUACUAUGGAGCAUUUUCUCCCAUUACGCAUCUGUGAAAUUGCUAUCAAUGCAUAAGGUCAUUAUUGUAACUUUUUCCUGCCACUAUCUGUCACCCCCAACUCCUAUCAGCAGAAACAAACAACAUGAUCAUAACAUGAUGUUGAAAGUUUCUCCUUAUGCGUUGAGAUAAGUUGCAUGGUGUGAUAGAUGUGGUAGAAACUUCUAUUACAACAUGAUGAUAGUAUGUUUUGCCAGUAGUAAAACUGUAAUCAAUGUCAAAUAAUUGUUUCCUUUGUAUGCCAAUUCAGUUCACUCUCAUUGUUUUUCAUUAUUAAUAGCAUUUCUAGUAUUUGAAAACAUACUUUACAAUCCAACACAUCUGAUCCUGUUUAAUGUGGGUGGGACAAGUCUGCCAAGGUGGUCAACAUUCAUAGUUUU
Molecule: long non-coding RNA, 1100 nt
Organism: Mercenaria mercenaria
Lineage: Eukaryota; Metazoa; Mollusca; Bivalvia; Venerida; Veneridae
Exons: 3
Source: RefSeq, a predicted model, not a curated record